Molecule: long non-coding RNA, 1411 nt
Filed under: Mustela putorius furo (domestic ferret)
Lineage: Eukaryota; Metazoa; Chordata; Mammalia; Carnivora; Mustelidae
Description: lncRNA (ENSMPUG00000029386.1)
Source: RNAcentral
AUUCACACUAGAGUGUUUCUUCUCUGGACAUCCACGGGAUUGUGUGAUGGAGGUGUGGAUAGCUAAGUUCCUUCUUCACCUUACAGGAGCAGAAGACUUGGUGCCAAUGGGCCGAAUCAUGGAAGGAACAAAGAAGUUUGGAUGGGACAGGAAAGGUCAGGGGAUGGCAGAAGGCAGCAAGGUUGUGGACAUUAAAUGCGAAGGGAAGAAAGUGCAAGAAGGAAAUCCUCUCCUUUUGACAAGACCAAACUUCACAUGCUUGACCUGUAUCUUUCGACUCAAGGAGCAAGUGUCACCUCCUUUGUGUUGGGCAUCAGAGGGAGAGUUCACAAGCCAGCAUUGCCACCACUAAUGCCAGUCAUUCAACAGUCAUUUAUGGAACACUGAUUAUAGGACAGUCACUAUACUGGAUGCCAGGGUUAUAACAGAUGAACAAGAAGUGCAUGUCCUUUCCUUCCCCCCGAGAGCUCUUGGUCACUGUUGUGGUUCACUUUUUCACACUCACCAUCACUACCACCUUUCUUCUCAUCACUUAAGGCAAUCCUGGACAUCUAAUUGUGCUUACAAAGCAUGUAGGGAUAAACAAACAUGAACAUAAAAAUAAAAAUAGAAUCUUAAAAAAAUAAAAGAGUGGAAAAUAAUCACCUGGUGAUUUCAUUAAAAUGCAGAUUUCCAGGUGUAUUUGCAUAUUUUGAUUUAGAAAAUCUAGAAACAGGUCCCAGGACUCAACAUCUUCAAAACAAUCUAGAAGAUUCUGAUGCAGGCAUUUCAUGGCUCACAUUUUGCAAAUACAAUCUUCUGUUAAACUAUCUUGUGUAUUUUUGUCACAUUCAUUGUGUUUUGAAUGUCACAACAACCCAAGAAAGUAAAUGGGAUAGGAAUUAUUAUCUCCAAUUUACGGAUGAGGAAAAGAAAUGCAUAAGAAUGCCUAUUCAACCUGAUUUAAUAUAACUGGCAUCUAAUUUGUUCAAGCUCUGCACUAGAAAUUAUAGAGGAUGAGACACUCAGUGGAUUUGCAUUAGGAGGGUGCAGAAGACAAGCACACAAAUAUGCCAGGUGCCUUCCAUGCUGUUCUAUCUGGAAUCUACUUUAACACUUAUCAAUAUAUACAUGCACAUAAAUGUAUUAUGAUAACUUUAUUCUGUACCCUGAAGGUGGUAAGUUCACUCAUUUACUAAUUGGUUCAUUCAUUUUACCCAAUAUUUAUUGGGCAGUUAUUAUAUGUCUGACAUUAUUCUCGGUAUUAGGGAUACAGUAAUAAAUAAAAUACACAAAAACUUCUGCUUUCAUGAAUUAACAUUCUAGUGGGGGGAAACAGGAACUAGGAAACCACAUUGCCCUUCAUAUCUGAAAAGAUCUACCCAGCCCAGUGAGCUAUAGGGCUGUUUGGUGCCUAUUUGAUGAUGAGUAU